Molecule: long non-coding RNA, 332 nt
Organism: Engraulis encrasicolus (European anchovy)
Lineage: Eukaryota; Metazoa; Chordata; Actinopteri; Clupeiformes; Engraulidae
Exons: 3
Source: RefSeq, a predicted model, not a curated record
UCUGCACAGAGCUCAGUGUCGUUGAAGAGUGACAGGUCAAAAGAUGGCAGCCAUCCAAACUUCAAACUGGAGCACUCACCUGAGAAAAGAGUCAUGUCACAGAGACCAGAGUCAUCUGCACAGAGCUCAGUGUCCUUGAAGAGUGACUGGUCAAAAGAUCGAGGACAACCAAACUUCAGACUGGAGCAUUCACCUGAGAAAAGAGUCAUGUCACAGAGACCAGAGUCAUCUGCACAGAGCUCAGUGUCCUUGAAGAGUGACAGGUCAAAAGGUGGAGGCCUUCCAAACUUCAGUUGGACAUCUAAAAUGAGGUAUGACAAGCCCCUCCUACA